This 366-nucleotide ribosomal RNA is filed under the name Leptolyngbya sp. H10. RNAcentral's name for it is "bacterial SSU rRNA". It matches the Rfam family "Bacterial small subunit ribosomal RNA", at positions 356 to 735 of the family's 1533-position model. The record is from RNAcentral. Lineage: Bacteria; Bacillati; Cyanobacteriota; Cyanophyceae; Leptolyngbyales; Leptolyngbyaceae.
GGGGAAUUUUCCGCAAUGGGCGAAAGCCUGACGGAGCAACGCCGCGUGCGGGAGGACGGCCUGUGGGUUGUAAACCGCUUUUCUCAGGGAAGAAGAUCUGACGGUACCUGAGGAAUCAGCAUCGGCUAACUCCGUGCCAGCAGCCGCGGUAAUACGGAGGAUGCAAGCGUUAUCCGGAAUUAUUGGGCGUAAAGCGUCCGCAGGCGGCUAGUCAAGUCUGCUGUUAAAGCGCAGAGGCUUAACUUCGGUAAAGGCAGUGGAAACUGAUUAGCUAGAGUGCGAUAGGGGUAGAGGGAAUUCCCAGUGUAGCGGUGAAAUGCGUAGAUAUUGGGAAGAACACCAGUGGCGAAGGCGCUCUACUGGGUC